CUUGGGUACUCGAGUGGCGAACGGGUGAGUAACACGUGGGUGAUCUGCCCUGCACUUCGGGAUAAGCCUGGGAAACUGGGUCUAAUACCGGAUAGGACCACGUUUUGGAUGGUGUGGUGGAAAGUUUUUCGGUGUGGGAUGAGCUCGCGGCCUAUCAGCUUGUUGGUGGGGUAAUGGCCUACCAAGGCGUCGACGGGUAGCCGGCCUGAGAGGGUGUACGGCCACAUUGGGACUGAGAUACGGCCCAG
This 248-nucleotide ribosomal RNA is filed under the name uncultured Actinomycetales bacterium. Its description in RNAcentral is "partial 16S ribosomal RNA". It matches the Rfam family "Bacterial small subunit ribosomal RNA", at positions 82 to 334 of the family's 1533-position model. Lineage: Bacteria; Bacillati; Actinomycetota; Actinomycetes; Actinomycetales. The record is from RNAcentral.